GCCGGGUGUGGUGGCUCACGCCUGUAAUCCCAGCAAUUUUGGGAGGCCGAGGCGGGCGGAUCACCUGAGGUCAGGAGUUCAAGACCAGCCUGACCAACAUGGUGAAACCCCAUCUCUA
Molecule: non-coding RNA, 118 nt
Filed under: Pan troglodytes (chimpanzee)
Lineage: Eukaryota; Metazoa; Chordata; Mammalia; Primates; Hominidae
Source: Rfam by way of RNAcentral